This 240-nucleotide unclassified non-coding RNA is filed under the name soil metagenome. RNAcentral describes it as "partial contains 5.8S ribosomal RNA, internal transcribed spacer 2, and large subunit ribosomal RNA". The record is from RNAcentral.
AACGCACGAGACCUGCGGACCUGCGGAAGGAUCAUUAAUUAUUUCUGGGUUUUUCUCCCAGUUUUAAAACCACCUUUUACUGUGAAUUGUAUUUAACUAUAUGACGUUUUGAGGGAUGUCCAGAUUGCUAUAUUGGGUAGGUGUCUGGAAUGAUUUUAACCUAGUCAUAGUCAAGCUUAGGCUUGGUACCCUAUUUAUUAUUAUUUACCAAAAGAAUUCAGAAUUUUAAAUUGUAACAUA